ACGGGUGAGGAAUACAUCGGAAUCUACUUUUUCGUGGGGGAUAACGUAGGGAAACUUACGCUAAUACCGCAUACGACCUUCGGGUGAAAGCAGGGGACCUUCGGGCCUUGCGCGAUUGAAUGAGCCGAUGUCGGAUUAGCUAGUUGGCGGGGUAAAGGCCCACCAAGGCGACGAUCCGUAGCUGGUCUGAGAGGAUGAUCAGCCACACUGGAACUGAGACACGGUCCAGACUCCUACGGGAGGCAGCAGUGGGGAAUAUUGGACAAUGGGCGCAAGCCUGAUCCAGCCAUACCGCGUGGGUGAAGAAGGCCUUCGGGUUGUAAAGCCCUUUUGUUGGGAAAGAAAAGCAGCAGGCUAAUACCCCGCUGUUCUGACGGUACCCAAAGAAUAAGCACCGGCUAACUUCGUGCCAGCAGCCGCGGUAAUACGAAGGGUGCAAGCGUUACUCGGAAUUACUGGGCGUAAAGCGUGCGUAGGUGGUUGUUUAAGUCUGUUGUGAAAGCCCUGGGCUCAACCUGGGAACUGCAGUGGAAACUGGAUGACUAGAGUGUGGUAGAGGGUAGCGGAAUUCCCGGUGUA
This 579-nucleotide ribosomal RNA is filed under the name uncultured Stenotrophomonas sp. RNAcentral's name for it is "bacterial SSU rRNA". It matches the Rfam family "Bacterial small subunit ribosomal RNA", at positions 102 to 677 of the family's 1533-position model. The record is from RNAcentral. Lineage: Bacteria; Pseudomonadati; Pseudomonadota; Gammaproteobacteria; Lysobacterales; Lysobacteraceae.